This 326-nucleotide ribosomal RNA is filed under the name uncultured eukaryote. RNAcentral's name for it is "partial 18S ribosomal RNA". It matches the Rfam family "Eukaryotic small subunit ribosomal RNA", at positions 1470 to 1796 of the family's 1831-position model. The record is from RNAcentral.
CCCUUAGAUGUUCUGGGCCACACGCGCGCUACACUGAAGGGAUCAGCGUGUUUUCCCUUCCCGAGAGGGACGGGUAACCCGCUGAACCCCCUUCGUGGUAGGGAUCGGAGCUUGCAAUUGUUCUCCGUGAACCAGGAAUUCCCAGUAAGCGCAAGUCAUAAGCUUGCGUUGAUUACGUCCCUGCCCUUUGUACACACCGCCCGUCGCUACUACCGAUUGAACGUUUUAGUGAGGUAUUUGGACUGGGCCUUGGGAGGUUUCGGCCUCCCUUGUUGCUCGGAAAGACUCCCAAACUUGAGCGUUUAGAGGAAGUAAAAGUCGUAACA